Molecule: ribosomal RNA, 292 nt
Filed under: uncultured bacterium
Lineage: Bacteria
Description: partial 16S ribosomal RNA
Rfam family: Bacterial small subunit ribosomal RNA
Source: RNAcentral
GUGCCAGCAGCCGCGGUAAUACAGAGGGUGCAAGCGUUGUUCGGAAUUAUUGGGCGUAAAGCGCGUGUAGGCGGCUCCGCAAGUUGGGUGUGAAAGCCCUCGGCUUAACCGAGGAAGUGCGCCCAAAACUACGAAGCUUGAAUAUCGGAGAGGAUGGUGGAAUUCCCGGUGUAGAGGUGAAAUUCGUAGAUAUCGGGAGGAACACCAGUGGCGAAGGCGACCAUCUGGCCGAAUAUUGACGCUGAGACGCGAAAGCGUGGGGAGCAAACAGGAUUAGAUACCCUAGUAGUCC